This 76-nucleotide transfer RNA is filed under the name Burkholderiales bacterium. RNAcentral's name for it is "tRNA-Trp". It matches the Rfam family "tRNA". Rfam says of the family: Transfer RNA (tRNA) molecules are approximately 80 nucleotides in length. Their secondary structure includes four short double-helical elements and three loops (D, anti-codon, and T loops). The record is from RNAcentral. RNAcentral also lists the same sequence under 2 other names. Lineage: Bacteria; Pseudomonadati; Pseudomonadota; Betaproteobacteria; Burkholderiales.
AGGUCAAUAGCUCAAUUGGUAGAGUGUCGGUCUCCAAAACCGAAGGUUGGGGGUUCGAAGCCCUCUUGACCUGCCA